Molecule: ribosomal RNA, 168 nt
Filed under: uncultured bacterium
Lineage: Bacteria
Description: partial 16S ribosomal RNA
Rfam family: Bacterial small subunit ribosomal RNA
Source: RNAcentral
UCCUACGGGAGGCAGCAGUGGGGAAUCUUGGACAAUGGAGGAAACUCUGAUCCAGCCAUGCCGCGUGAGUGAUGAAGGCCUUCGGGUUGUAAAACUCUUUCGCGCGCGACGAUAAUGACGGUAGCGCGAGAAGAAGCUCCGGCUAACUUCGUGCCAGCAGCCGCGGUA